AUGAGCUGGCACAGAGCUGGAGGAAGCUGCUUCACUGCUGCAACACUGGGCUGCCCACUGUUUGGUCCUGCUACCUCCCACUGCAUCUAUUGCUUAAUGAAACAACUGCAUGAUGAGCUGCUACCAGUACCUUCAAAGCACUUCCUCGUGGAUUUAAUCAAUCCCUACAAUGACAACAAGACAAAGUUUCACAAACGUGCAUCUGGACACGUCCCUUCAUGGCACGCCAGCACCUUGGUGAGGCUGCAGUGCAUCAUCUCUGCGCGGGACAAGGCAUGGAGCCAGAUAAUCAGUUUGGCCAUCCAAAAUGGAAAGGGGAAGAAAAGAAAGGUUUGA
RNAcentral lists this long non-coding RNA (336 nucleotides) under Coturnix japonica (Japanese quail). RNAcentral describes it as "lncRNA (ENSCJPG00005014154.1)". Lineage: Eukaryota; Metazoa; Chordata; Aves; Galliformes; Phasianidae. The record is from RNAcentral.